GACGAACGCUGGCGGCGUGCUUAAUACAUGCAAGUCGAGCGGUAAGGCCCGGUACUUGUAGGGUGCUCGUGUGGCGAACGCGUGUGUAUCACGUGAGUAGCCUGCCCCUUACUUCGGGGUACCACCAGGGGACUGGGGUUAAUACCCGGCAUAAGCUCCUUAUACACAGGGUGGGUGUGAAAAUUUCGGCGUUGCGGGAUGCACUGGCGGCUUAUCAGCUUGUUGGUGGGGUAGUGGCGUACAAGGGCGUGGACGGGUAGCCGGACUGAGAGGGUGACAGGCCACAUUGGGACUGAGAUAGGGGCCAGACUGCUACGGGAGGCAGCGGUGGGGAAUAUUGCACGAUGGGCGGAAGCCGUAUGCAGCAACGCCGCGUGCGGGAUGACGGCCUGCGGGGUGGAAACCGCGUGCGCGUGUGACGAAGAGUAAGUGACGGUAAUGGGUAAAGAAGCAACGGCUAACUACGUG
Molecule: ribosomal RNA, 468 nt
Filed under: uncultured bacterium
Lineage: Bacteria
Description: partial 16S ribosomal RNA
Rfam family: Bacterial small subunit ribosomal RNA
Source: RNAcentral